CUUCUCAAAUAUGCUGUGCUGUUCAGUAUCAGGAAACUCUGUGUGUGUAUAUGUGUAGGACUUCUGAGAGCCAGAGGCUGGCUGCAGUGAAGAUUUAUACACCACAGGAAGGGUUAACCUCAUCUCAUGGCCACUAUUGUCUCAGGACAACUUGUCAGUCCGAGAGAACAUCCUGUAAUGGAUUUGAAGUGGAUUGCUCAGCCCAUCGCAAGAUCUGACUGGAGAAUUUUGUGCCAGCACUGCCGCAGAGACUGAAAAGGCUCCAAACUUUUCAUUUACACCAGUGACCAUGUUUCAAUCAGCCUUGUAAAGGGGGAGCCUGUGAAGGUGGGUUCUGGUUGUGUUACUUUCCUGAGUGGAAUCCAAUCAUAUGAGAACUGAACUCUCACAUCCUGUCAGUCUGACCCUUUAAAGUGGAUCAUUAUUAAAUUGGUCUUGUAUGACCCCCAUUCUC
This is a non-coding RNA of Phascolarctos cinereus (koala), 454 nucleotides long. The record is from RefSeq and is a predicted model, not a curated record. Lineage: Eukaryota; Metazoa; Chordata; Mammalia; Diprotodontia; Phascolarctidae.